ACUCAAAGAGAAGUGGACCAACCGGCUUCGGCUGGACGUGCGGUGUGGCAGCAUAAAAGCAGGUCUGGCUGUAGAUCUGCUAUCCACUUCGUCCAGAAGCAACAUGAAGGUCUUCCUGCUAGCACUGUUGGUCGUACUGAUGUGUAGCACCCAGGUGCACACACUCAGAUGUUUCGUCUGUGAGGGAGAGGAGGGCUGCGCCACCGCCACAGAAUGUCUCAACCAUGAGAAAUUCUGCAAGAUGUCUUUCACAGAGACUUCCGUGUCCAGAAGCUGUGCGUCUCAGUGCAAGAUGGACGAGAACCAGGACUGCUGCAUGGAAGACGAAUGCAACCACUAGAGUCCUCUCCAACCACCACGCUUUUUAAUCAAAGGAAUCAUUAAAAAAGGUUAUGCAAUGUAACAUUAUAUACCAUAUGGGCUAGGUCACUUGGUAAUCAGAGAGCAGAUAUUCUUAAUUUGUUUCUUCGUUAGUUCAAUUGGUCCAGUUUUUCUUGGAAAUAUGCUAUAAUGCAUUAAACUAG
Molecule: long non-coding RNA, 524 nt
Filed under: Gadus morhua (Atlantic cod)
Lineage: Eukaryota; Metazoa; Chordata; Actinopteri; Gadiformes; Gadidae
Description: lncRNA (ENSGMOG00000029594.1)
Source: RNAcentral